CCCGGGCCCACCCGUAGUUACGUCCCUGUGCAGUUACAGCGUACGGAAAACUUUUUUUUACCCACUGUAUUUCUAUCUCGAAAGACUUUUUGUCUUCGAAUACUUCGUUGUCUUAUUAUAUAAUGUUUGUGAGUAAAAACGUUGUCAUUAUGUUUAAUUUUAAUAAAAAUUAAAAACAGAGAGAGAACUGUGCUGAACUUUUACUAUUUUACAACAUGCACAGUACUCGAACCCAGAAUUUGUCAUCAUCUGCGCAUCCAGCAUAUUGCUGCAAAGUGUUGCGGGUGCUUCGGAUCACUUGCAAACUUAUCAAAAGGUUUCGUCACAGUGUCUGUGAUCGCAUGAUCGGUAAAAAUUUUAUGCAUUUGAAACAACUGGUAAAUGGCCUAAGUUAUCAGACUUGCAACUAUACCGAGCGGUAACUGUUUUAUGCAUAUGGAUCUGAAACAACUGGUAAAUGACGUAAGUUA
RNAcentral lists this long non-coding RNA (470 nucleotides) under Androctonus crassicauda. The record is from RNAcentral. Lineage: Eukaryota; Metazoa; Arthropoda; Arachnida; Scorpiones; Buthidae.